CUUUUUUUAUAAAUAUUUUAAAAUAUAAAAGUAUUUCAAAUAUAUGGAGAUACAGAAAAUACUAUGGUGAACAGUCAAUAAAUAACCAUCUAGAUGUAACAAUUCCAAAUAUUUAGCAAUAUUUGCUUGAGAUCUUUUAAAAAUAGGUAUCACCAUGGGAAGCUUCCUUGUGCCUUCCCAUUCAAGUCUUCCUCCCUUCUCACUAUCUUGAUCCUAUGCUUCCUGCUUGUUUCCAUGCUUCUUGGGAUUUGCUGCAUAUUUACUGCAGAUAUAAAGAGCCUAUCAUAUUGUUCUACAGGCAUUCAAGCUGCACAUAAAUGGUAUCAGUUCCCUUAAUUCUUCAGAUUACAUCGUGAGGAUAAUCUUCCUUUGGCCAAGUCUUGAAUGCAUUUUUCUGGAGUUUCUUUUAUCAAACUAAGUGUUGCUAGCUUUCCAUUUACAGUAGUGAUUUAUGUUUUCUUUUAAGUUAGAUUAUGGAAAAAGAAAAGUGUUGAUUUAAAGAAAAAUGUUAAGUAGUAAUCUUAUAGGCAGUACACAGAAAUAGCCAAAAAUUAGAAAGUUUGUACUGGAAUAGCUGAAACUUGACUUUAAAGGAAGAAGCACUCAGACCCCCUACCCGAUCUGACCUCUGCUUCCUAUCCCAGGCCUAAGAGUCACCAUCAUUACUUCACCUCCACCUGUACAAACUGCUUGGUUUCCUCCUUCUCACUUUCUCACUAGCUGGAGGUGCAUUUGCAAUGCUAAAGCCUUUCCUUUAUGAUACUUUGUGUAGCCAGCACCCCUGCCUUCACAGGCUCUCUCAUGGUCUUCUCAGGCUGAGAAAGCCUGUGUCUUCUCAGUACCUAGCUUGGCAGGCAAGCGUACAUACUUCUCUAGUCUUAUUCUAAAUUUAGUGCCAGUAUCAUGACAUCUUCAUGGCCAGAACAGGGUACCAAAGUCAUGGAAAGAACCCAUCUUUUUGUGAUGUUUCAGAUAAAAGUCCAGGGUACAAAAGGAAGGUUCUCAGUGGAAAAGAAGUUCAUAUUUACACGCUUUAAAUCUUAAAAAUAAUUGUUUUGGGUUUCAAUACCUGAAAUUAUUUUCUUUUACAUUGAGGCAAUAUGUUAAUCGGUUGGCUAGAUGAAGGGUAAACAAAGGAGGAUACGGGAGGGGUGAAAAUGAUGAUGGCAAAUGCUAAUUUUUCCAACACCGCGGCUUACUGCAGAGUACUUACAACACUGAGCUGGGUGAUUUCAUUAGAAAAUGAAAAGUCAAAUACAACAUUUUAAGUGUAACACGUUUGAACGUUUGACAUAUGACAUUUAAAGCCCAAAGUUCCCAAACCGUUGCUGCUGUUGAGAUGCUAGGGCAAUUUUCAAGCUUUGUGAGGCAUGACCCACAAAGCAUAUGAAUAAAUACAACAGUAUUAACAAACAGCACAGAAAACACCGAAUGCCCCUUUGAAAGUCCUCUAAGGUCUGCAGUGGUGAAGAACUAACUGCAUUGACUUCCAUUCAUUCAUUCAAAAGCCUUAUUCUGAAGCUCAAAUCCACAGAACAUGGUUAAAAGCUCCUCAGCGCACUUGGCCAGCAGUAGAUUCACCUCUUAAGAGAGGUGCAAAGAAGGCUUUCAGGGCUACAGCUGUUUUGAGGGGAAAUAGUUCAGUUUUAGCGCUUUCUGCUAGAGCACUUCGCAUGGCCAAGGCUGAGAGGAAAGGCUGAGCGGGGGAGGUUGAGGGAAGUGACUUCACACUCUUGAUUACAGAAUGUCAUGUUUACCUCGGUGAAGCAUCCAGCCUUUAAAUGAGAAAGCGAAUCCAGUGAAAUCACUCUCCCGUGUCCGCCUUCCACACUAAGUCUUAUCUGCCAGCCAAACUUUCUGCAUCAAUCUGGAUAGGUCAGCGCCGAAAGGCCAGGUCCUGAGGUGGCGCGCUUUGCCUUACCCGGCGUCAGCCUUGGAGUUACCUGAAGCAUUUCAGCUACUGCCCCCAGAGAACAAGCUUCUAGUUUCAAUUCGAUUUCCUUGGGGAAUUGCGGCUCAAGCAAGUCCUGGGUGUGGCGAUGUCAAAGUCGAGCUAGGAUCUCUUAGCUCUCCCGCUUCUGGCAAACGUUCCCAGACCCGAAGCGUGACGGGUGUCCAGAGCCCGCCGUCCAGGAUCCCCCAGGCUGCCAAGGACCCGACCCUUCGGGCCGCUGCACCGCGCGGAAACGCCAGGCUGCGCGCACUGUGCCUGUGCGCUUCUCCCCCACUCGCUCUGCGCUCGGAGGCGGAUCCCCUUCCCAGCACACAAGUCCUUAUAUGCACCGGUUGCACCAGCCCGCCUUAUUCCAGCCGCACAAAUAAUUAAUGUGGGAGGGAGGGUGCCACUGAUAUUUUCCCCCCUUCUGGCUUUUUUCUCCAGCACUGGAGCUUUU
Molecule: long non-coding RNA, 2393 nt
Organism: Heterocephalus glaber (naked mole-rat)
Lineage: Eukaryota; Metazoa; Chordata; Mammalia; Rodentia; Bathyergidae
Source: Ensembl